AGCGAACGUUAGCGGCGGGCCUAACACAUGCAAGUCGAGCGAGAAAGUGGCUUCGGCCAUCAGUAAAGCGGCGGACGGGUGAGUAACACGUAGGUAAUCUUCCCUUGAGCGGGGGACAACGUUUCGAAGGAACGCUAAUACCGCAUAAGUUUUCUGAGCCUCCGGGUUUGGGAAGGAAAGCCAGGUCGCAAGAUCCGGCACUCGAGGAGGAGCCUGCGUCGCAUCAGCUAGUUGGUGGGGAAUGGCCUACCAAGGCGAAGACGCGUAGCUGGUCUGAGAGGAUGAUCAGCCACACUGGGACUGAGACACGGCCCAGACUCCUAUGGGAGGCAGCAGUGGGGAAUAUUGGACAAUGGGCGCAAGCCUGAUCCAGCCACGCCGCGUGAGUGAUGAAGGCCUUCGGGUCGUAAA
This 411-nucleotide ribosomal RNA is filed under the name uncultured bacterium. RNAcentral describes it as "bacterial SSU rRNA". It matches the Rfam family "Bacterial small subunit ribosomal RNA", at positions 29 to 429 of the family's 1533-position model. The record is from RNAcentral.